GCCUGACCACUGAGAUACACCUCCAACCCUCCAGUGUCUUUCUAAAAGCCUUCCUAGAUGCCAAUGGUAGAGUUCUCCACAUGGUUCCAAGAUGGUCGCCUGAAUCCAUGACCAGUUCUGUCAGUGGUGGUCUAGGUUUUUACCAAUCCACUAAUGUGCGCUUACGAGGAGAUUCAUGGUCAAAGAAGGUGAAUCCAAAGACAAACACAUAGGCAUCCUCAGGAAUAUUAACCUUCAUCAGGCGAUGAAAGGAGACAGAGACAGAGACCC
Molecule: long non-coding RNA, 270 nt
Organism: Microtus oregoni (creeping vole)
Lineage: Eukaryota; Metazoa; Chordata; Mammalia; Rodentia; Cricetidae
Exons: 3
Source: RefSeq, a predicted model, not a curated record